AACAAAAUAGUAAUCAAGGGUAACUACAAUUACUAAAUGUACAAUAAAUGAAGUGCAUAGGCAAGUGAUGAAGGUGAUUAAGUUAAGGUACGGUAAACCUUAUUUUACAAUAACAAAGAACUGAGCAAGUUUUUGUUAUUAAAGAAUAUCAGUUUUAAACAUCUAAUUAAUUAGAAUAUUUUAUACUGAAACACACUAUGCCAAGGUCUAAUUUAAAGGGUUGGAAAGUGGAAUAUUUACGUUUCUGCCUUUGAUGCAGUGGAUGGAAGAAGUUGGAUCUUCCUGCAGAUCUUGAAGCAUGAAACGAGCAGACUUGGCUCUCUUGAGCUUUGGGUGGAAGAAAUCUGUAGUUUCUGGAACACGCAGACUGGAGAUUUCUAGAAGUGGUGGUUCGAUGUCGGGAACAUGCCGACGUCUUUAUCCUUGAGCGUAGAAAUCUGUAUCUUCUGGAACACGCAGAAAUUGGAGAUUUCUGGAGGUGGUGGUUCGAUGCUGGGAACACGCCGAUGCCUUUUCUUUGAAGGUAGAGUUCCUGGAAAUCUGGGACACGCAGAUUUUUGGAGGUGGUGGCCUUGAUGCGAUGGUUCAGACGCCUUGGAAAAAGCACUGUGAAUCCAAUUACCAAAUCCUUGCUGGAACACGCAGCAAAAGGUCUGAUGUCUAGGACAAAACCCCGCAAACCACCCUGAACCACACUUUGACCACUCUUCAACCACCUUUUAGGACACACUCUUUAGGACCCACACUUAACAGAUUUUUUACCAGGCAAUGUCUUUAAUACUUUCUCUGGAAGGCGGUAUUGAAGGAUGUCACCUUUCAAAUCCAGCAUUGUGAUUGGAUGAUCCUGUGAGUUGGUCACUGGGAGGUGUCAUCCAUAAUGUGGCCUGCAUUUGCAUAGUCAUAGUCCACUGGUUAACUAUGAUAAUAUUUAAGAGUCUUAAAUAUUUUCCUAUGCAUAAUUCACUUUCCAAACCACAUCUAAUUUACCCAAGGCAUUAUUUGGAAUAGAUAGAGUCUAAACAUCGCUAUGUAAUGUUGAUCUUUACCCAAGCAUUCAUAUAUAAACCUUAAUAAGCAAAGUUUCAUACAGUGAAGUAUUUCAAGCAGUGCAUAUUAAAUAUAUACAUGAUCAUUUGAAUAUACAGGUAUAUGACGUGAAAUUUUCCAUUUGUGUCUCUUUUGUGACAUGCAAGUUUACUGAUCCAUGUGUAUCUCUGAGUUUGAGACGAUGUCAAAAGUUGAUUG
Danio rerio (zebrafish) is the source of this 1245-nucleotide non-coding RNA. The record is from RefSeq and is a predicted model, not a curated record. Lineage: Eukaryota; Metazoa; Chordata; Actinopteri; Cypriniformes; Danionidae.